Molecule: long non-coding RNA, 247 nt
Filed under: Carica papaya (papaya)
Lineage: Eukaryota; Viridiplantae; Streptophyta; Magnoliopsida; Brassicales; Caricaceae
Description: long non-coding RNA (CPAP_LNC013819)
Source: RNAcentral
UGGGAAGGAAAGAACCUGAUUUUUGUAUUCGCUUAUCAAUUUUCUUUGUAGUGGAAAUUUAAGGAUACCAUCUGUAAUGCUUUUUUUUUUUAUUUUUUUUCUCUUUUCACUUCUAAUGGCGUAGUUAAGAUAAACUAAUUUCAUAAUCAAAUCAGUCAUGCACAUAGCAAUAUUAUCACAAUCUCUUAUUCAAAGUCAAGAUAAACCUACAAUCAUGCAUGAGACAUCGCAUAAAAUACAAUCGUAC